Amaranthus tricolor (Joseph's coat) is the source of this 1205-nucleotide long non-coding RNA. RefSeq lists it as uncharacterized. The transcript has 3 exons. The record is from RefSeq and is a predicted model, not a curated record. NCBI's taxonomy places the organism in Eukaryota, Viridiplantae, Streptophyta, Magnoliopsida, Caryophyllales, Amaranthaceae.
GAGGAUACCCGACAUUUUGGAAGCCCGGAAAGCUGGAUACCCGGUUAGUCGAGUACCAUUUUAUCAGCUCAUUUCACGACCCAACUUAUUUGAGUACCUGAAAUCCGGUUAAUAAAUCUAUGCAAUCCAAUUGAUUUAAUUUCAAAAAAUAUUACAUCCUGAAAGAUGGGAAGCAAUGAAAACCUGAUAUUUUUCUUCAUUGAUCUAAGAACAACAAAACACAAAAUGAAAAGCGCAAAUGCAAAACACGAACAAUGAAAAAUGCAGACUGAAAAAUCAAAACAUAAAUCAAGAACGUAAGUAAGAAUGAAAAAUGCGGAGGAAGCAUGGGACUUGAGUAGUCCGUUAUGGGAUUAUUUUGAUGAUGUGGAUUUGUGGUCAGUGGACAUUCGGUUUGAUGAGAGAUUGGUUUGGGUGGAGUGUUUUGGUACAACCAGUUGUAACAUUCGGGAAAAUUAAUAUUUUAAGACGAGUAAGUUUAAGAGAAUUAUCAGUGCGAGAAUGAUCCUAAAUACCAUGACAUGAAACAUCCCCAAUUUAAUUUCUUCCCUUUUUUCCUUUUCUUUUAUUUUUAUUAAAAUACCUAAACCCUAAUUUCAUUUUAACAAAACUGAAAUCAAAAUUUGCUCUUGUUCCAUUUAAGCCAUUCGAAAUCCCUUGCCUUCUAUCCCUCUGAAUUUCACAGUCUUCUUCCUCAGAAUAACUCUGAGAAUUCGAGUAUAGAACAAUGGCUUUUCGUGCUUUCUUUCCUUGCCAUUUUGACAUGAAACUUUCAAAAACUAUCAACAAUGGUGACUUGUUCUAAUUGCUUUCGCCUUCGCCUGAUUCUUUCAAGAACACAAGCACUGCUAUUUCUGGAACCUGGCUUUGAAUCCUUCGAAGGAGGCGACGUCAUCGAGGAACCUUUCUAGCUGAUAGCUGCGAAUCGAACCUGACUCUUUGAAGCGUCGUCUUUGUUUGAUUACAGAUCGGAACCAGUCGGGAGUAAUGGAUUAGCAGAGGUGAAUAGAGUUUCCAAGGAUGUAAAUUGAGCUGAGUACUUAGGAAUUAUAGAUUUGUAUUAGGAAUUUUGGAUAAAUGUAAAUUUUUUUUGGCUGUGCUGGUUAUAUCGGACUUGUAGAGAAUUGUAUGAUUAUCUUGUGUAUUAGUUAAUUGUAUGCUACUUUAAAUAGUUAAUUAUAAGUAUUUAAGUAGAUUAAUUUUAA